AAGUGCAUGACACCUCCCUUGCUCUCUCUUCCUCCUGCUCUCACCACAUGUGACAUGCAGGCUUUGCUUAACCUUCUGCCAUGAGCAAAAGCUCUCUGAGGCCUGCCUGGAAGCCAAGCAGAUGCUAGUAUCAUGCCUGUACAGCCUGCAUAACGCCAGAAACCUCUGUGAUCAGUGGCACCAUUACCCGAGUUUUCCUCAGGCCUGCUGGGCUCAUUCCAACAACUCGACCUGGCAGGCCACACUCACCUUGCACUACCAGCACAGAUCCCACACCUGCCAAGGGCGAGUCAGACGUGGAGCAACAAGUGGUGCAUGAGCAAGUGAGCGUGGAGUCGGCCACUGCGCACAGCCAUGCACAUUGGCUGCUGUAGCAGGGCGGGCAGCUCCGGCACCAGCACAGGCACCGGCUCUGGGCAAGCCGGUGGCAGGAUCUGAUGUACAGCAAGUGGCUUCCGCUGUGCGUACCUGUGUCUGGAGGAGGGGAACACAGUGGCACCCAAAAGCUUGGAGACUCCAGAAACUACAGAGCCCCAAAUGGGGUGUCACAGCCUUAGCUCAGGGAGCCUGUAGGUGUGGGCUCCCCGAAGGGCCACAGCUCUUCUCUCCUUCUCACUGCUCACAAUGUCGGGAGUGGAGGGAGUAGAGGUUGGGUACAUUUCAGCCCUGUUUGUGUUACUGUUUUUUCUGUCCUGCCAUUUGGCAGUCCCUGAGUUCUUGUCCCGUGUCCAGGAAGAAUGAGGUAUACAAACAACUGGAGGGUGGGAAGGCAGAACGGAGUUUUACUGAGCAGCAGAACAGCACUCAGGAGACCUACAGUGGGCAGCUCCCUUUCUGCAGGCAGAUCAUCCCAAGGAGUCAAAGAGACUCAAAUUGGGUAGCUUCUUCCUGCAGCUGGUAGUCUGAUGUCUGUGUGAGUCUGGCUGGGUCUGGAGGUUUUUAUGGGCUCAGAAGGGAGGAUGUGUGUGCUGACUGUCCACAGGCAGGCCCAGAAGAAGCACCGCAAGUUUUCACUCCCACUGUGAACUCCACCAGGAACUGACAGCCCAGCCCUGAGGCUGUAGGCUGUCCCUGUCUUCAAGGUGGGGCUUCAGUGGGGACCUGCACCUUUCCACCCAUGAGCCUGUCUGCCUCCUGCUGCCACCAAUCAUGUCAUCUACAGGUGCCCCGGGUGUUUCUGUGGAGGGUUGCCUGCAGGCCCACGUAGAGCAGCCCUCAAUCCUACCCCCUUGGCCUCCCUCCAGUGCUCCUUGGUCCCAAAGUUUGGAAAGGGGUGAGUUGGCAGGGGGCUGGCAUGUCAGCGCCACCGAGUGUGUGCACACCCAGCCAGGUCACAACAGUGCCCAUGCUUGGCCACAGCUUUGCUCCAUCCCGGAGCAGGCACUGGGAGCAGGGUGAGGCCAGACAGCAGGAGCAGGCACUUCCAAGCCUGCUGGGGUAGGGGGACUUCCCGGGCCCCCAAGAGUGUAGGGAUGCCCAGGUCCACAGCUGCAGCCGCUCCUGGAAGCAUGGGGCUCCAACCCCAUUAACGCGGAAGAGGGUGGGGUUCCUGCCUGUUCUCAAAUCCCGCCCACUCCAUGGAGCACACAGUCCUGGCCAUGCCUCCCCUAUUGCAGCAUCUUCACAGCAGCCGCUUCAGACGGGCAGCUGCGGCCAUCAUUACUUCUCUGUAUAGUGGACAAGUAUCUUUCAAAUGUUCAUAUUCUGAAGCCUAAAUCUAGAAUCACAUUUUUUAUAAGAUUGCAGGAACACAGGAAAUAGUGUCUGCAGUAUUAUUUCUAAUCUUCUCAAUUAUUUUGUUCACAUGAUAGAUUUGAUGCUUUCUAGCUUCUGGUCUCACAUGCUAACCUUUGAACAUAAUAAACAAUAAAUUUGUUGUAGUCAUAAAAUUAUUUUUACAUAAUUCUAUUUAUUUUCCGGCUUUGAAAAUAAAGUUCAUUAGUGGAAAGGAACAGGAAGAGGAGCUGCAAGUAUAAUCCAUAAUAAUGUGUAAAAAUUCCAUUUAAAACUUUUCCACUUAGAAGUCACUGACUGUAAAAAAUAGAAAGAUUCCGGUUUUAAAACAAUUAAUACUUGUUCUUUUCUUUAACUGUUCUUGAGUAUAUAUUCUCUGAAAGUUCACUAAUACAGGAUAAAUUUGUGAGAUACAGCAGCUCACAGGUUAUGCAAGAUACUUUUGAUAGGCUGAAGUCAGAUUAAAUAAAAUUUAAAAAUUACAUACUCCAGAAAGUGCUGCCAAAGAGAGGUUUAAGUAAGGCUUUAAAAUGAUCUUUCCUUUAGCAAUAAGAGCUCAGAAUUACAAAAAAAAAAAAAAAAAGUCAAUAAUAAAA
Piliocolobus tephrosceles (Ugandan red Colobus) is the source of this 2330-nucleotide long non-coding RNA. RefSeq lists it as uncharacterized. The record is from RefSeq and is a predicted model, not a curated record. The transcript is spliced from 2 exons. Lineage: Eukaryota; Metazoa; Chordata; Mammalia; Primates; Cercopithecidae.